This 482-nucleotide ribosomal RNA is filed under the name uncultured Mollicutes bacterium. Its description in RNAcentral is "bacterial SSU rRNA". It matches the Rfam family "Bacterial small subunit ribosomal RNA", at positions 897 to 1382 of the family's 1533-position model. Lineage: Bacteria; Bacillati; Mycoplasmatota; Mollicutes. The record is from RNAcentral.
AAACUUAAAUGAAUUGACGGGAACCCGCACAAGCGGUGGAGUAUGUUGUUUAAUUCGAAGAUACACGAAGAACCUUACCAGGUCUUGACAUACCAUUGACAGGUGUAGAGAUACACUCUCCUUCGGGCAAUGGAUACAGGUGGUGCAUGGUUGUCGUCAGCUCGUGCCGUGAGGUGUUGGGUUAAGUCCCGCAACGAGCGCAACCCUCAUUGUUAGUUACUACCAUUCAGUUGAGGACUCUAAUGAGACUGCCAACGACAAGUUGGAGGAAGGUGGGGAUGACGUCAAAUCAUCAUGCCCUUUAUGACCUGGGCUACAAACGUACUACAAUGGCCAAUACAAAGAGAUGCGAAGCGGUGACGUGAAGCGAACCUCAGAAAGUUGGUCUCAGUUCAGAUUGAAGUCUGCAACUCGACUUCAUGAAGGCGGAAUCGCUAGUAAUCGCGGGUCAGCAGACCGCGGUGAAUACGUUCCCGGGUUUU